UGGCUCAGGAUGAACGCUGGCGGCAUGCCUAACACAUGCAAGUCGAACGGAGUUACACGCUGAGACGGAAUCCGGCUUGCCGGAGGAAGACUCUUGUGCAACUUAGUGGCGGACGGGUGAGUAACGCGUGAGCAACCUACCUUUCAGAGGGGAAUAACGGCUGGAAACGGUCGCUAAUACCGCAUGACAUACGGAAAACGCAUGUUAACCGUAUCAAAGAUUUAUCGCUGAAAGAUGGGCUCGCGUCCGAUUAGCUAGUUGGUGAGAUAACAGCUCACCAAGGCGACGAUCGGUAGCCGGACUGAGAGGUUGAACGGCCACAUUGGGACUGAGACACGGCCCAGACUCCUACGGGAGGCAGCAGUGAGGAAUAUUGCACAAUGGGGGCAACCCUGAUGCAGCAAUGCCGCGUGAAGGAAGAAGGUCUUCGGAUUGUAAACUUUUGUCCUUGGUAAAGAAAAGAAUGACGGUAGCCGAGGAGGAAGCUCCGGCUAACUACGUGCC
RNAcentral lists this ribosomal RNA (504 nucleotides) under uncultured organism. RNAcentral describes it as "SSU rRNA". It matches the Rfam family "Bacterial small subunit ribosomal RNA", at positions 20 to 509 of the family's 1533-position model. The record is from RNAcentral.